This 295-nucleotide ribosomal RNA is filed under the name uncultured bacterium. Its description in RNAcentral is "partial 16S ribosomal RNA". It matches the Rfam family "Bacterial small subunit ribosomal RNA", at positions 775 to 1067 of the family's 1533-position model. The record is from RNAcentral.
GGAUUAGAUACCCUGGUAGUCCACGCUGUAAACGAUGGGUACUAGGUGUUCGGGGUAUUGACCCCCUGAGUGCCGCAGCUAACGCAUUAAGUACCCCGCCUGGGGAAUACGGCCGCAAGGUUAAAACUCAAAGGAAUUGACGGGGGCCCGCACAAGCGGUGGAGCAUGUGGUUUAAUUCGACGCAACGCGAAGAACCUUACCUGGGCUAGACAACAUCGGACAACUCCAGAGAUGGAGCUUCCCCGCAAGGGGCCGGUGGUUCAGGUGCUGCAUGGCUGUCGUCAGCUCGUGCCG